RNAcentral lists this unclassified non-coding RNA (501 nucleotides) under uncultured Glomus. RNAcentral describes it as "SSU rRNA". It matches the Rfam family "Eukaryotic small subunit ribosomal RNA", at positions 591 to 1092 of the family's 1831-position model. The record is from RNAcentral. Lineage: Eukaryota; Fungi; Glomeromycota; Glomeromycetes; Glomerales; Glomeraceae.
CCAAUAGCGUAUAUUAAAGUUGUUGCAGUUAAAAAGCUCGUAGUUGAAUUUCGGGAUCAAUACGUCGGUCGUGCUUUCGGGUACGUACUGGCGUCAUUGGUUUCUCCUUUCUGACGAACCAUGAUGUCAUUAAUUUGGUGUUAUGGGGAGUUAGGACUGUUACUUUGAAAAAAUUAGAGUGUUUAAAGCAGGCAUUAGCUUGAAUACAUUAGCAUGGAAUAAUGAAAUAGGACGUUCGAUCCUAUUUUGUUGGUUUCUAGGAUCAACGUAAUGAUUAAUAGGGAUAGUUGGGGGCAUUAGUAUUCAAUUGUCAGAGGUGAAAUUCUUGGAUUUAUUGAAGACUAACUACUGCGAAAGCAUUUGCCAAGGAUGUUUUCAUUAAUCAAGAACGAAAGUUAGGGGAUCGAAGACGAUCAGAUACCGUCGUAGUCUUAACCAUAAACUAUGCCGACUAGGGAUCGGAUGAUGUUAAUUUUUUAAUGACUCAUUCGGCGCCUUACA